AGUCUCGGGAGGACUCCAGAGCCCCGAAUCUUUGACUGCUGCUCAGCCGUGGCUCCUGGGUGCUCCAGACCUGUGCAUGUGUCCCUGGGGACGCUGUGGGGUGGGCUGGGUUUUGGCUGGGGGUCCUCUUGCCACCAGUGCCCAGGGAGAUGAGAGCUGGCAGCGCCGUUUCUUUUCGGGCCCUCUCAAUGCUGCUGGGACUUGCUCCACCAUGUUCCCACCUUGUUCCCACAGCUCACUGCCGACACCACAGAGCACAGCCAGGAGCAGAAGGCAGAGCUGAGCCAGUGCCUCCUGCUGCAAGGUAAGGAGAGGAGCUGUGGCGCUGCCCCGUGGUGUCCCAGCAGCUCUCUCCCAAACCUGCUUGCUAAUGCAGGAUGGGAUUUCCUCCCCACAGCUCGCAUCUGCCCAGAGGAGACGAUCCCGUUCCUGGAGUCCCAGCUGGGCCACGAGAGGGAGGCCGUGCGCGUGGCAGCCCUGGGUCUGCUCGGUGCUCUGGCACGCUGUGACGGUCAGUACUGCGGGGUCAGGGCUUGGAGGGCUCUCUUCCGCCCUCUGGGCUGUGCCUCCACACAUGCCUCACUGGCUCUCUUGCAGAGCCCACGAUGGCAGAGAAGCUGCCCCAGGUGGUGGAGGCUGUCAAGCGUGUGUGCAGGGACCCCAGCAUCCGGGUGAGGAGGGCAGUUCUGCACUUCAUCAGGGAGCUGCUCAGUGCCAAUGCCCAGAGCUGAUCAGCGUGGGACGUUGUGGGCUACAUCUUCAGCGAGUUCAGCCAGAGCUCGAGCAAGAAGGGUAAGGAGAGCGUGCAACAUCUUCCCUGGGGAGAUCUGCUGCCAGGAGGCUGGCAUGGGAGCCUGCUGGGGCCACGCCUGAGCCUUCUGGGGCAGGAACUGAGAGCAAGCGGGGCGGGGGGUUCCCAAUGUUGUCUUGCAGGCUGCGGGACUCCUGUCUGCCCAGGAAGAAGGAGCUCUCCGAGGGCUGUGCAUGGACGUCCUGGGGUCCCUGGACAUCUCUGUGAGAGGGAUGGCCAAAGUAAGUCCUCCUCUGUCCUGCUGCUGCUGCUGCUCCUCUCCUCUCUUCAGGCCAUUUGUUCCUGGCCCCCUUUGCACACUUGAAAGCUCCCCCCCAGCAUGCCACGGGGCCCCCGCCCACGUGCGGG
Molecule: long non-coding RNA, 1159 nt
Filed under: Anas platyrhynchos platyrhynchos (common mallard)
Lineage: Eukaryota; Metazoa; Chordata; Aves; Anseriformes; Anatidae
Description: lncRNA (ENSAPLG00000024914.1)
Source: RNAcentral